CGGGGUAGAGUAACGCGUGAGGAACCUGCCUCAAAGAGGGGACAACAGUUGGAAACGACUGCUAAUACCGCAUAAGCCCACGGCUCGGCAUCGAGCAGAGGGAAAAGGAGCAAUCCGCUUUGAGAUGGCCUCGCGUCCGAUUAGCUAGUUGGUGAGGUAACGGCCCACCAAGGCGACGAUCGGUAGCCGGACUGAGAGGUUGAACGGCCACAUUGGGACUGAGACACGGUCCAG
RNAcentral lists this ribosomal RNA (234 nucleotides) under uncultured bacterium. RNAcentral describes it as "partial 16S ribosomal RNA". It matches the Rfam family "Bacterial small subunit ribosomal RNA", at positions 104 to 334 of the family's 1533-position model. The record is from RNAcentral.